CAUGCCUACGGGACGCAGCAGUAGGGAAUCUUCCACAAUGGACGAAAGUCUGAUGGAGCAACGCCGCGUGAGUGAAGAAGGGUUUCGGCUCGUAAAGCUCUGUUGGUAGUGAAGAAAGAUAGAGGUAGUAACUGGCCUUUAUUUGACGGUAAUUACUUAGAAAGUCACGGCUAACUACGUGCCAGCAGCCGCGGUAAUACGUAGGUGGCAAGCGUUGUCCGGAUUUAUUGGGCGUAAAGCGAGUGCAGGCGGUUCAAUAAGGCUGAUGUGAAAACCUUUGGGUCA
This 285-nucleotide ribosomal RNA is filed under the name uncultured bacterium. RNAcentral describes it as "partial 16S ribosomal RNA". It matches the Rfam family "Bacterial small subunit ribosomal RNA", at positions 334 to 611 of the family's 1533-position model. The record is from RNAcentral.